This 779-nucleotide transfer RNA is filed under the name uncultured cyanobacterium. RNAcentral's name for it is "16S-23S ribosomal RNA intergenic spacer". The stretch from base 188 to 261 matches the Rfam family "tRNA". Lineage: Bacteria; Bacillati; Cyanobacteriota. The record is from RNAcentral.
CAGGGAGACAACACAAUGAUUUUGAUGCCUGAGUACUUUUAUUCUUAGGCCGAAAUCCUGUCACCUUAGGUCGAUCGGUACCUCAGCGUUGAAGCAACAGAAUUAACAGAGAUGUUGAUGCGUGUUGUGGAGAUGAUCAGUUCCUAAACUUUGUCUAGGUCACACCCCACAAGGGUUGAGUUUUCCUGGGCCAUUAGCUCAGGUGGUUAGAGCGCACCCCUGAUAAGGGUGAGGUCCCUGGUUCAAGUCCAGGAUGGCCCAUUCGGUGUUGGGGGUUUAGCUCAGUUGGUAGAACGCCUGCUUUGCAAGCAGGAUGUCAGGAGUUCGAGUCUCCUAACCUCCACUGACCGAACUCAAUCUCCAUUGUCCGGUUACCCGGAGGAUGAACUCGAGGGAAUGUGAUUUAGAUGUGUCCACUAGAUAGGACCCUAGCUUCCUGUCAUUCCGAACAAGUGAUGAUUGCUUGAUUGGUUGAUAUGAUGCUGGGCUCAGAUUAAUCGAAAGAUUAAUUUGAUCUCUAGUAGAACCUUGACAACUGCAUAAGUAAGUCUGGAAAAACGAAGCAUCUUACAGAUGCAUUGUUUUAAGUCUAAAUUCUCGAAAGAGAGUUUAGAUCUAGAAUGAUGAAAAUUCUUUUAAGCAAGAGCCGAGACUCUUAGAUGUUCUUUUUAUCGUGUCGAGCGAUAAGGAGUUUGAUUUUGUUUUUAUGAGUAGCGAAAGUUGCUGAUGAAACCAGAAGAAUCUGCUUUCAACCGCAGUAAGCGUUUAAGAGGUUAAUU